GCUUCCGUAGCUCAGUGGAUUAGAGCGUUCCCCUCCGAAGGGAAAGGCCGGAGGUUCGAGUCCUCCCGGGAGCACCA
RNAcentral lists this transfer RNA (77 nucleotides) under Candidatus Doudnaibacteriota bacterium. Its description in RNAcentral is "Candidatus Doudnabacteria bacterium tRNA-Arg". It matches the Rfam family "tRNA". From Rfam's summary of the family: Transfer RNA (tRNA) molecules are approximately 80 nucleotides in length. Their secondary structure includes four short double-helical elements and three loops (D, anti-codon, and T loops). Lineage: Bacteria; Candidatus Doudnaibacteriota. The record is from RNAcentral.